AUGAAAGGAGAAUUGGGCGCACCUGUUUCUGGAGAUGACGAAGAAGGUUGCAAUGCCGGUGGCUGUUAUUCUCGCUUGACUGCUUUCCUCUCUCUCCCCGUUGUGUCCACUGUCUUCCUUUUUUUCUUCUUUUUUUGAUUUCCCUGUUCUUGAGAUGAAGAAGCUGAGUCGGUAUGUCUGUUUCUUAAGAUGAAACACAGACAAUUGCAGGGAUCUCUCCUUUCUGUAUCUGUUACUCUCUUAUUCUCUCCUUCUCUGUGUAUGUUAUUUUCGGUUUAUGCUCUGUUUUUCUCUGGUUUUUUUACUCUGUCUUGGCUCCCCCCUCUUCUCCUCUGAUUUUCGGCCCCUUUUAUAGAGACCCAGCUGCUUGCCUCUAACCAUUCCUGCCUUUACAGGACUGUUAUCUUCCCCGACGAGAUCGUGGGCGAGAGACGUGGUCCACGAUCAGAUUUGUUGCAGAUUAUCAGCUCCCCUGCUGAAUCGGGAGCUCCCCUGUUGAAGCGGGAUGGAGAAGACGCACGGCUGUUAGCAACGGUGCCGUUUCGGCAGCAAAUGGGAAUUUUCAAUUUGACCCCUGCCUCUGGAAAUUUAACAAUUUGAUCCCAACAAUCUUUUAAUUUUACCCUUGGAUUAAUUUCAAUUAAGUCCCUGAAUUUAUUUAAUUAAUUAAAUCAAAGUUUAAUUAAGUCCUCGAACUCAUUAAUUUUUCAAUUAAACUCUUG
Molecule: long non-coding RNA, 722 nt
Filed under: Populus trichocarpa (black cottonwood)
Lineage: Eukaryota; Viridiplantae; Streptophyta; Magnoliopsida; Malpighiales; Salicaceae
Description: long non-coding RNA (PTRI_LNC000509)
Source: RNAcentral